This 377-nucleotide ribosomal RNA is filed under the name uncultured bacterium. RNAcentral's name for it is "bacterial SSU rRNA". It matches the Rfam family "Bacterial small subunit ribosomal RNA", at positions 29 to 406 of the family's 1533-position model. The record is from RNAcentral.
AAUGAACGCUGGCGGCGUGCUUAACACAUGCAAGUCGAACGGUAGCAGGGACUUCGGUCUGCUGACGAGUGGCGCACGGGUGAGUAAUGGAUAGAUAAUGUGCCCCUUAGUCUGGGAUAGCCACUGGAAACGGUGAUUAAUACCAGAUACGCCUUUUUAGCUUAAGCUAAUUUGGGAAAGGUUUUUCGCUAAGGGAUCAGUCUAUCUCCUAUCAGUUAGUUGGUGAGGUAAUGGCUCACCAAGGCAAUGACGGGUAGCUGGUUUGAGAGGAUGAUCAGCCACACUGGAACUGAGACACGGUCCAGACUCCUACGGGAGGCAGCAGUGAGGAAUAUUGCACAAUGGGGGAAACCCUGAUGCAGCAACGCCGCGUGGAG